AGAGUUUGAUCAUGGCUCAGAAUCAACGCUGGCGGCGUGCCUAACACAUGCAAGUCGAACGCGAAAGGGGAGCAAUCCCUGAGUAGAGUGGCAAACGGGUGAGUAACACGUGGGUGACCUGCCUUCGAGUGGGGGAUAACGUUCCGAAAGGAACGCUAAUACCGCAUGACAUCCUGCUCUUGGACGAGCGGAGAUCAAAGCUGGGGAUCGCAAGACCUGGCGCUUGAAGAGGGGCCCGCGCCUGAUUAGCUAGUUGGUGGGGUAACGGCCUACCAAGGCUCCGAUCGGUAUCCGGCCUGAGAGGGCGGACGGACACACUGGGACUGAGACACGGCCCAGACUCCUACGGGAGGCAGCAGUAGGGAAUUGUUCGCAAUGGGCGCAAGCCUGACGACGCAACGCCGCGUGGAGGAUGAAGACCUUCGGGUCGUAAACUCCUUUCGACCGAGAUGAACAGCCACCGACCCAACACGUCGGUGGCCUGACAGUACCGAGAAGAG
This 500-nucleotide ribosomal RNA is filed under the name uncultured Acidobacteriaceae bacterium. RNAcentral's name for it is "bacterial SSU rRNA". It matches the Rfam family "Bacterial small subunit ribosomal RNA", at positions 8 to 487 of the family's 1533-position model. Lineage: Bacteria; Pseudomonadati; Acidobacteriota; Terriglobia; Terriglobales; Acidobacteriaceae. The record is from RNAcentral.